RNAcentral lists this ribosomal RNA (644 nucleotides) under uncultured bacterium. RNAcentral's name for it is "bacterial SSU rRNA". It matches the Rfam family "Bacterial small subunit ribosomal RNA", at positions 28 to 667 of the family's 1533-position model. The record is from RNAcentral.
AUUGAACGCUGGCGGCAGGCCUAACACAUGCAAGUCGAGCGGUAGAGAGAAGCUUGCUUCUCUUGAGAGCGGCGGACGGGUGAGUAAUGCCUAGGAAUCUGCCUGGUAGUGGGGGAUAACGUUCGGAAACGGACGCUAAUACCGCAUACGUCCUACGGGAGAAAGCAGGGGACCUUCGGGCCUUGCGCUAUCAGAUGAGCCUAGGUCGGAUUAGCUAGUUGGUGAGGUAAUGGCUCACCAAGGCGACGAUCCGUAACUGGUCUGAGAGGAUGAUCAGUCACACUGGAACUGAGACACGGUCCAGACUCCUACGGGAGGCAGCAGUGGGGAAUAUUGGACAAUGGGCGAAAGCCUGAUCCAGCCAUGCCGCGUGUGUGAAGAAGGUCUUCGGAUUGUAAAGCACUUUAGGUUGGGAGGAAGGGUUGUAGAUUAAUACUCUGCAAUUUUGACGUUACCGACAGAAUAAGCACCGGCUAACUCUGUGCCAGCAGCCGCGGUAAUACAGAGGGUGCAAGCGUUAAUCGGAAUUACUGGGCGUAAAGCGCGCGUAGGUGGUUUGUUAAGUUGGAUGUGAAAUCCCCGGGCUCAACCUGGGAACUGCAUUCAAAACUGACUGACUAGAGUAUGGUAGAGGGUGGUGGAAU